RNAcentral lists this unclassified non-coding RNA (141 nucleotides) under uncultured Helotiales. RNAcentral describes it as "sequence contains ITS2". The record is from RNAcentral. Lineage: Eukaryota; Fungi; Ascomycota; Leotiomycetes; Helotiales.
UAACCACUCAAGCCUAGCUUGGUAUUGGGGUUCGCGUGCUCGCGGCCCUUAAAAUCAGUGGCGGUGCCGUCUGGCUCUAAGCGUAGUAAUUCUCUCGCUAUAGAGUCUCGGCGGUUGCUUGCCAGAACCCCCCACUUUUAA